UAAAACAUCAAAACCGUUUAGUGUUUAAACUACGAAAGAAAUGCGUUUAUUAAAUUUAUUUAAAUUGAUCGCAAUUUGUAGUUUAUAUAAUUUAGGAAAAGCGGCGAAUAUUUUAGGAGUGUUUCCAAUACCGAGUAAAAGUCAUGAUAUUUUGGGUAGCACGCUUUGUAAACAUUUAUCAAAUCUUGGACAUAACGUAACUUAUAUUUCACCGUUUCUUCAUGAAUCCCAAAAGGAUUUCCACCAUAUUUAUGUUAAAGAAAUUGAAACAAUCAGAGUAGAUCAUAUGAAACAAAUUACACAAGGUAAGGAUAGCACACUCGGAACGAUGCUUCGUUUAAUCAAAUUGAUAGAUAUUUCUGAUUUGAUUUUUAACAACCCCGAAGUUCAGCAAUUAAUCAAUUCAAAAUCAGUCCUAAAAUUUGAUUUAUUAAUACACUUUAUGGGAAUGGAUUCAACUUUGGCUUUAGCACACCAUUUUGACGUACCGAUAAUCAUAUUUUCACCAAUUGGUGGAUUUCCCCACAUAAAUAAUUUAGUUGUAAAUCCAACUCCUUUUUCUUACGUUCCAAACGCAUUAUUACCUUUUACCGAAAAUAUGAAUUUUAUGGAAAGAACCAUUAACACAGCGGUUACAUUAAUGUUUCCCCUUCACGAAGCUAUAAUGAAUUGGAUAUCGGAUAAAUCACUUGAAAAAUAUUUACCCGGCUCAUUACCAAUGCAAGAAAUUAAAAAACGGAUCGAGUUGGUUUUAGGAAAUACUCAUAUUAGCACGGAAAGUCCUCGACCUUACGUUCCAAAUAUGAUUCAAAUCGGCGGUUUUCAUUUACAUAAUCCAAAACCUGUCGAUGAAGCUUUAAAAAAUGUAUUAGAUGAAGCAAAAGAAGGAUUUAUUUAUUUUAGUUUCGGCACAAACGUAAACGUUAAAGAACUCGGCGAAAAUGUCAUGGAUAUUUUCAGGAAAGUUUUGGGAAAUUUGCCUUUAAAAAUCAUUAUGAAAUACGAAGAUGAUUUUAUGGAGAAUAAACCGGACAAUUUUUAUUUAGAAAAGUGGUUUCCACAACCUGCAGUUUUAGCUCAUCCAAACGCGAAAUUAUUUAUUACUCAUGGGGGUUAUGGCGGAUGUACAGAAAGUCUUUAUUAUGGUGUUCCAAUGGUGUGUAUUCCAUUUUUUGGAGAUCAAUUUAAAAAUUGUGCUGACGCCGAAAUAAAUGGCUAUUCGAUUACGGUUAAAUUAAAUGAAUUAAGUGAGAAAUCAUUUUCUGAGGGUUUAAAUAAAGUUCUUUACGAUGAACAAUUUCAAGAAGCUGUUAAAUUUAAAUCUGAAAUGUAUCGAGAUCAACCUAUGCAUCCAAUGGAUAAAGCUGUUUAUUGGAUCGAACAUGUUUUAAAGCACAAAGGAGCUAAACACUUAAAAAUUAAAGGAGCUGAUUUACCGUGGUAUCAAUAUUUAUUGGUUGAUGUAUUUUUGUUUCUUGGAUUUGUGAUAUUAAUUGCUUGCUUUAUUAGUAUAUGUAUCAUGAAAUUUCUUUUUAGAAAAUUAUUUGGUGCUAAAAAUAAAAUAAAAGUAAAUUAAAAAUAUCGUGACAAAUAGAAGCCUUUGUUUAUUGAGAAAUUAAAAAUUUGAUUAUGUAAAAAAAGACAUACAUAUUUUAUAAAAAUAUAGAUAAAAAAAAGAAUUUUUCAAUGUGAAGGUUUGUAAGAUUGUAGUUAAUAAGUUUUUGCAGUAUAUCUUGAAGUUAUUUGAACUAAACAAAAACUGAAACUGGAAAUGCAUGUUGAGUAGUGUUUCCUUCACUUGUCCUAGAUACAACAGGUGUUCUCAAUACGCGCUGGUCACAAUGACAUCUAGAUAGACAAAGCUAAAUGGUAUAAAAAAAGUAACUUUCUUUAAUUCAAAAGGCAGCAGAAUUGGUAUGUUGCUGCAUUAAUAGUAAUAACAGUAGUGAUGGCAGUACUCAAAGUAUAAGUCCGAUUGGUAGUUGGAGAUAAUCACUGUGUUCUAAUUUGCUUCCCUUACGAUGGUUUGUGUUUUACCACUGAAUAUCUAUCUGUAUGGUGGUAGCCGAACUACCUUUGCUUUCUUGACUGCCAAUUCUCUGUUCUCCAUUAAUGGUGGAGCCCAUUUAAAAACCAUGAUAGAACUAAGUUUUUUAUUGUGUUUAGUUUAAUAAAACUUCUCCUUAAAAUUAAGUAAAUCAAUGAAGUUUUCCAAGAUUUAGUUGCGCAACAAUAAAGUCUUUAGUCUCCUUUAUGUAAAUAUACUUUUAUUUCUUAUUAUUGUGAUUUUUCUUGUAUGUUUUGUUACAUUUUACAUUAUAAAAUUAAUUUUUAAAAAAAUUUUUGGGUCUAAACAUAAAAUUAAGGUCCGCUUUUACCACCUCUAGUUAAACUGGUCGUUAGUCUAACUAUAAGAUAACGUUUAUCUAUUAGUUAACUGCGAAACGACUUUUACCAUUUCGAUCUAACUAAUGGAUAGGCUAUCUAGUAGUUAACGUAAAAAUCUAGGGGAAUAUUAUAAUGACUGUUGGUGACCACGUGUAAAAGAGGUAUUACAGGUUUCUAUCUCCUUUGUCCGUCGGUAAUUCUCAUAAACCUGUCAGUUCUGUUAGUGGCAAUUAACGAUCACGAAAAAAUAAAAACAGCAAAUCAGACCGAAAAUCGUAUUCGGGGGGCAAAUUUUAAACCUGAAGAAAUAACACUUUUACUUGACUUGGUGGCGGAUCAUAAAAAUGUCCUCAAGAAUAAAAAUAGUCACGUUAGUACGUAGAAAAUAACGUUUGGGUUUUGCAAACAACAAGGAAAGAUUGAUCUGCUUUAUAUGGUGUAGUGUCCAAUAAAGCUGUCCAGGAUACCUAUAACAAGUUAUUA
This 2871-nucleotide unclassified non-coding RNA is filed under the name Onthophagus taurus. Its description in RNAcentral is "uDP-glucuronosyltransferase 1-1-like, transcript variant X1". The record is from RNAcentral. Lineage: Eukaryota; Metazoa; Arthropoda; Insecta; Coleoptera; Scarabaeidae.